CCUACGGGUGGCAGCAGUGAGGAAUAUUGGUCAAUGGCCGAGAGGCUGAACCAGCCAAGCCGCGUGAGGGAGGAAGGUACAGAGUAUCGUAAACCUCUUUUGUCAGGGAACAAAGGCGGGGAUGUGUCCCCGGAUGAGUGUACCUGAAGAAAAAGCAUCGGCUAACUCCGUGCCAGCAGCCGCGGUAAUACGGAGGAUGCGAGCGUUAUCCGGAUUUAUUGGGUUUAAAGGGUGCGCAGGCGGUCUGUUAAGUCAGCGGUCAAAGCCCGGGGCUCAACCCCGGCCCGCCGUUGAAACUGGCAGGUGCGAGUAUAGGAGAGGUAUGCGGAAUGCGCGGUGUAGCGGUGAAAUGCAGAGAUAGCGCGCAGAACUCCGAUUGCGAAGGCAGCAUACCAGAUCCAGACUGACACUGAGGCACGAAAGCGUGGGUAUCGAACAGGAUUAGAUACCCGAGUAGUC
RNAcentral lists this ribosomal RNA (459 nucleotides) under uncultured bacterium. RNAcentral describes it as "partial 16S ribosomal RNA". It matches the Rfam family "Bacterial small subunit ribosomal RNA", at positions 338 to 795 of the family's 1533-position model. The record is from RNAcentral.